RNAcentral lists this ribosomal RNA (328 nucleotides) under uncultured eukaryote. RNAcentral's name for it is "partial 18S ribosomal RNA". It matches the Rfam family "Eukaryotic small subunit ribosomal RNA", at positions 1470 to 1796 of the family's 1831-position model. The record is from RNAcentral.
CCCUUAGAUGUCCUGGGCCGCACGCGCGCUACACUGAUGCAUGCAACGAGUAUAUAACCUUGGCCUGAAGGGCCUGGGUAAUCUUUUGAACGUGCAUCGUGAUAGGGAUAGAUUAUUGCAAUUAUUAAUCUUGAACGAGGAAUUCCUAGUAAACGCGAGUCAUCAGCUCGCAUUGAUUACGUCCCUGCCCUUUGUACACACCGCCCGUCGCACCUACCGAUUGAAUGGUUCGGUGAAGAUCUCGGACUUCGAUAUUUGUUCUUCAUUGAACUUAUAUAGUGGGAAGUUAUCUGAACCUCAUCAUUUAGAGGAAGGUGAAGUCGUAACA